RNAcentral lists this ribosomal RNA (371 nucleotides) under uncultured bacterium. RNAcentral describes it as "bacterial SSU rRNA". It matches the Rfam family "Bacterial small subunit ribosomal RNA", at positions 525 to 896 of the family's 1533-position model. The record is from RNAcentral.
ACGUAGGGUCCAAGCGUUAAUCGGAAUUACUGGGCGUAAAGCGUCCGCAGGUGGCUUGAUAAGAUAGACGUGAAAUCCCUGGGCUCAACCUAGGAAUUGCGUUUAUGACUGUCUCGCUAGAGUAUGGGAGAGGGGGGUGGAAUUCCACGUGUAGCAGUGAAAUGCGUAGAGAUGUGGAGGAACACCGAUGGCGAAGGCAACCCCCUGGCCUAAUACUGACACUCAUGGACGAAAGCGUGGGGAGCAAACAGGAUUAGAUACCCUGGUAGUCCACGCCCUAAACGAUGUCUACUAGUUGUUGGGCUUUUCGGAGCUUAGUAACGCAGCUAACGCGUGAAGUAGACCGCCUGGGGAGUACGGUCGCAAGACUA